Molecule: long non-coding RNA, 1560 nt
Organism: Triticum dicoccoides
Lineage: Eukaryota; Viridiplantae; Streptophyta; Magnoliopsida; Poales; Poaceae
Exons: 5
Source: RefSeq, a predicted model, not a curated record
GCGUCCAAUCCAUGUGCGCGUCAGGAGGCACUGCACCCAUUCGUCACCACGACGCCAAACCCCACAGCGCCCCAAUCGCCCGCAACCCUUUCCCCCGGACACCGCAGCUGCCCUCCUCCUCCAUCCUCUCGCGCCCCCCUCCCACAUCUCAUCCAGCCCCCUUCCUCGUUCAUCCCUGAACAGAUCUGAGACGUGCGGGCAUCGAGGAGAAGGGCGACGGUGGUGGCGCUUGAUUUGUGGCAGCGUCAUGGAUCGGCCCCUGCUGAGCGACAAGAUUGCUGGAUUGCCACAAUCUCACCUCGCCCCACCAGCUUCCAGCGCCAUGGAUCCGCCGGAGACGGAGGGCAACAAGUGAGAGGGAGCAGGAUAAGAGGUGAAUCGAGGGAGUUAAAGAAGAAGCUCACACGGGAAGGGGAAGAGGAAGUCUUGCGGCGUAUCCUCAUCUCAUCCCCGGCUGCAGAUCUUUUGACGCCAUGGCACUAGAGGUGGCUCCUCGAUGGAGCCGGCCGCUCUUGCUCGACGCCACUAUACACAACACCGAGGUAGGCUCGACUACCUUUCUCCUCUCUCCCGUGUGAUUUGUUCUCUAUUGAUUUCCCCUCUUGCCUGUUCUAAUUCGUGGGCAAAACAAUGGAGGAUUUCUUCAUUGUUGAUCUGAUUUGGGGCUGAUUUUCCCCUAGAUUCCUUCCUUUUAUAGUUCUUUUUCGACUUGUUGUUCAUCGCGUCGAUGGCUUCCACGGAGCAGAGGAAAGUAUGCCCUCUUCAUCUCGGCAGAGGAGCGGGACGGCCAGGAGCUGUCGUCCUGCUACCCUAUGCCAAUGGAUGCGCCUCCCAGAUGGCUAGCAACGGCAGAUCCAGCUGGAAAGGACUCUAUGGUACCAGUCCUAUUAUUGAAGCCACUUGAUAGCUGCCAUUAGCUGUAAUGUAAUUAGGCAGAUUGAGAAGCUGAUCCAAGCGAAGCAAUGAUGUAAGAUGCGAGGAUAACUUCUACAUGGUACUUCCUGUUUGGUGUUCUUCUGUUGGAGCUGAUCACCAGGAGAAGAAGCUAUGAUGCUUCGAGGCCUAAACCAGAGUAGAGCUUGCUAACAUGGGCAAUCCUACAUUGCCAUAAUUUGUCAAGACCAUUUAUGCAUGACGAGAGGAAAUUCCACCGGCUGGCUCGCCCAGCGCCCCGCGGCAGCUACCCGCUGUCGGCACUCAACCAGCUGCUGGUGAUCAACAUCAUGUGCCUGCAGGACCAGCCCCACGUCCGCCUGAUCAUCGCCAGCAUCACGAUAGGCCUGAACCAUGUCGCCAGCCAGCUGUACGUCUCCCUGGGCUCCCUGGCGACAGCAGCGGCUCGCUGUGCUAUGCCUGCACACGAUCCAGACAGCGAGGCAGUGGCAGCAGGAGGGUCGUGCAGUAUGCAUUGCAGCCUCCUAGGCCUUCCUUAGCCUGGCGAGAGAUGAAGCGGCAGGUUGUUGGACUUGAACGUAUGAUAGGGUCAAAGCCCUCUCUUUGUAUUCAGAAACUGCCUGGUCUUAGGGCUGUACGAAGGAGCGACUGGUAAACAUGGUAGUU